CGCCUCUACGAUUCUUGCCCGUCUCCCAUAUCGACUGCCGAGGUCGCGUUCCCUCUCCUCCUCGCUGCCUCGCUCUCUUCUUCGUUUCUUCUGCUUCUCCUUCUUCUUUCCUCUCUCUAUUGCUGGAGCGGCAGAGACCGCAGACGACGAAGAAGCGGCGGAGGCGUCAGGGAGAAGGGGGAAGAGGAGGAGGAGGAGGAGCGGAAGAAGCCAUUGGGAACUAUGCGAUCGGAUGAGGAGAGCGAGGAGGAGGAUUCUGACGCGCCGACGAGAAGGAGAACCGCCGCCGCCACCGCCACCAUCACAAUCGCUGGCCGCGGCAGCGGCCGUUGAUGGCGUUGCAGAUGACCUGGCAUCCAAGGUGCCGCAGGGGCGGCCCCCCUCUCGGCCUUAAGAACCUCGGUAACUCAUGCUACCUCAACAGCGUCCUCCAGUGCCUCACGUACACCCCUCCCCUCGCCCAGUUCUGCCUCUCCUCUCGUCACUCCUCACUCUGCAAGUCGCUCUUCGCGAACCGGGACAAGGAGUGCCCCUUCUGCAUCCUCGAGCGGCAGAUCGCUCGAUCCCUCAGCCUCGACGGGCCGCUUGAAGCCCCGUCCAAGAUUCAUAAGUCCCUUGCCCUCUUCGCCGAGCACUUCCGGUGGGGCCGCCAGGAAGACGCCCACGAGUUCCUCCGCUACGUAAUCGACGCCUGCCAUAACGCCUGCCUCAAGAUCCACAAGCGAAACGGCGGCGGAGGGACUCCGGAUGGUAACCCAAAGGCGGAGGGCCGCUCAGGGCCCAGCACCGUGAUGAAGGAGAUCUUCGGAGGGGCCCUCCUUAGUCAGGUGAAGUGCCUCGCGUGCAAGGGGGAGUCAAAUAAGUCGGACGAGAUCAUGGACAUCUGCCUUGAUCUCUUCCAGAGCAGCUCCUUGAAGGAUGCCCUAGCUCGAUUCUUUCAUCCUGAAGUAUUGGACGGCAACAAUAAGUACAACUGCGGCAAUUGUAAGAAACUCUCUGUUGCCAGAAAGCAGAUGUUUAUACUUCGAGCACCAAAUGUGCUUGUCGUGCAGCUCAAGAGAUUUGAAGGCAUACAUGGUGGGAAGAUCAACCGGAACAUUGAAUUUGAUGAAGCUUUGGGGCUUUCAGAGUUCAUGUUCAGUAUGAGUCAGGAUCCUGAGCCAGAGUAUAAUCUUUUUGGCAGUAUUGUGCAUUCAGGAUUUUCACCAGAGUCUGGACAUUAUUAUGCAUACAUCAAGGAUGCUUCUGGUCGUUGGUACUGUUGUAAUGAUGCUCAAGUUUCACUUUCAAGCAGACAAGAGGUUUUGUCAGAGAAGGUUUAUAUCCUUUUCUAUGUACGCAGCAACGGAAGCCCAAAGCCAAGCAAAAUUGUUUCUUCUUGCAACGCAUAUAAACCUUCAGUGACAAAUGGAAACGAUACAUCAAGCUUAAAAUCUACUGAAACACUGAAACCAACAAUCAUCAAGUCAGAUGGCGUGUCUUCUAAGAAUACUGCUUCGACCAUGCUGAAGAAUGGUAAAACAUUUUCAUCUCCACAAUUUAAGCCCAUUAAUCUGAAGAACUUGGAGAUAAAGCAGGCUAUUUCAAAUGGUAAUGGCAACCUUGAUCUUCAGAAUAAAGGGUCUAUUGAGAAGGGUACGGUUGCACUUGAAUGUGGUUUUGUGGGUGAAACUAAGAUAGUACAAAAAGUCAAGACAUCAAUGGCAUCUAAUCUCAGUUCUGCCAAUGUAAAUUUUUCUUCUGAUACGGUGGAGAAAAAUAAUAAGCAGACAUUAUUUUUACCAAAUGUAAAUGCAUGUACAAAAGAAUUGGAUAUGGAUGCUCAUGUGGAGGACAUUGAAGGUGCAGCAACUCUGAAUAGAGGUUUUGAUAAUGGCAGUUCAUCGAAAUUGGAGACUAAUAAGCAUCAUGCUAUUGUAUCGACUUUUAACACAGAGUUAUCUAAUACUAAAACAACUGAAAAUUUAGCAAGUGAUUUGCCGAGGGGAAAUGGUUCACACAAGAAUCAGAGAGCAUGUGGUAAAAGGCAUUACCAAGAGGAAAUUGAGAAGUUCAAAGAAGUACUUGCUGGAGAAGCCUCUUCUGAACUGCACUCUUGUGGCUGGGUUGAUCAGGUUCAAAAUUUCAUGCGUGCUAGAAAGAGAUUAUGCAUGCAAGAAUCAGGCACCUCUUCUGAUAAUAGUCUAAUAAGGAGACACUUGAUCAAUGAUGCCAGAAAGACCUUCAUCUCACAAAUUCCUGAGUCUCUAAAGGAGCACCUCAUUGAGCACCUCAGAUUUUUCAGUCAAGAAACACCUUUAUUGGAUUCUUGAAUUUCAGAUGAUGUCCUUUAUGUUGCGACUGGAUGAUGCAUGGAUAUACUAUUGACUAUUCCAAAUUUGAAGGGCAUAAUUUCCUUCUCUGCAAAAUUCUUUUGGUAUGUGGAGAAUGUUGAAGACCUUUUUUGCAUCAAGCUCCAUGGGUUUCAGGAGAUUUAUCACUUGAAGCUUCUACUUCAGUUCAUGUGUAUCUGAGAAUAUUAUUGAUUUCAUUGGCACUUCCCCUAUCAGUGAGAUUCACAAUUUUGAGGUUAAAAGUUUUGCGGAGUAACUUCCUAUGUAACAUAUCUUUUUUGAUAUUGUCGCUGAUGAUCAAUUUCCCAAGGCUUAUCCUUUUUUCAUUCUUCCAAUAUGUUGUGCAACUGAAUCUCGAAGACGAUUGCAGUCAGGAGCUACAUGAAGCGAAAAUUCUAUGUAUGCUUUGCUAGUCUAUUUUUAUCAUCUCAACAAGAUAGAGAUCGAGGAACACAAUCUUGUAUCCGACCUGUACCGACAUUGGAUCAGUACAUACCAUCAGUACUGGUGUAUCAACACUUGAUACACUGAUAUGUACCGAAAAUAAAGAAGAGGAAGAAGAGGAAGAGGUGAUGGAGGAAGAGGACAGUGGAGGAAGGGGAACAGGAGGAAGAGGAUAAGGAGAAAAGGAGGAAGCAUAUCCAAAACCAUGUUGACAGUGAACAUUGGGUGGCGAGGAGGCUGGCGGCAGCGAACGGCAACAUUCCGCUUGUGGAGAGGGAGAAGUUUGUGGAGUUUCUUUUAAUCAGCAAAUUACUGAACUUUUAAAUCAGUUUAGAACUUUUUUUUUUUGGUCUUUUCCUUUUCAUUCGAAAGACUGGAAGAAAUCACUGUUUCAGAUUUUAGUUUACAUGUCAAACAUAAUCAAUGGUUUA
Non-coding RNA from Musa acuminata subsp. malaccensis (wild Malaysian banana), 3208 nucleotides. The record is from RefSeq and is a predicted model, not a curated record. Lineage: Eukaryota; Viridiplantae; Streptophyta; Magnoliopsida; Zingiberales; Musaceae.